CGCGACCCCAGGUCAGGCGGGACUACCCG
This 29-nucleotide ribosomal RNA is filed under the name Scoparia dulcis (licorice weed). RNAcentral describes it as "partial 26S ribosomal RNA". Lineage: Eukaryota; Viridiplantae; Streptophyta; Magnoliopsida; Lamiales; Plantaginaceae. The record is from RNAcentral.